This 4264-nucleotide long non-coding RNA is filed under the name Vitis vinifera (wine grape). RNAcentral's name for it is "long non-coding RNA (VVIN_LNC007571)". The record is from RNAcentral. Lineage: Eukaryota; Viridiplantae; Streptophyta; Magnoliopsida; Vitales; Vitaceae.
CCCACUCCACCAUGCAGGCGGCCUUUUUCUUCUGAUUGCCGGUCACCUCUCCGUUCUAGGGUUUGCAAAGCAACGCAGAAAAUGGACAGCGAUGCAGGGCAGUGGUCCCAUCUCCCGAAGGAUCUGCUAGCGAAGAUCGCCGGACGCCUCGACACCCGCAUCGAUUUUCUCCAUUUCCGCGGCGUCUGCUCUUCAUGGAUGUCGUCCGUUUCCCCUACCUUUCCCAGAAAAAACCCUAUCUUGUCUCUGAAACUCCCGUACCCCAUUGCCUCCAAUGCCAACCUCAACAUCUGUGACCCCGACACCCGCAACCCUCACGGCUCCUUUUCCCUCAUCGAGUCCACUCUCUAUUAUCUUCAACCACUCCGCCAAACCCCAGAUUCCAAAGAGGCCCUGUUGGUUAAGUUGGAGGAGCCUAAACCAGGGAAAGGCCGUCUUAUGGACACCCUCUCCAGAUGCGCCAUCCAGCAUCUGCCCAAAAAUUUCCCCAAGGUUCUCAAUACCCUCAACUUUCGAGUCCGUGAAGUUGGUAAAGCUUAUGGUCUUCGUUUCUUUGAUGUUCGGGGUAAGCCUAUUACUAGCUUUGAGUUCAAAUCUAUUUUGAUCAAGAAAGUAAUUAUGUUCUCGAAGGGUGAUGAGUAUGGUUUGAUGAUGAUUCAUAUUAGAGGGAGGCUGGCUCUAUGGAGAUUGGGGGAGGAGAAAUGGAGUUUGAUAGAUGAUGGGGCAGAGAAAUCUCAUUUUGAUGAUGUUAUAUACUAUAAGGGGAGAUUCUAUGCUAUUGAUUAUAAAGGAAGAAUCGUGGUGAUUGAUGCUGACUCUCUGAAAGCCACAGAGCUUGCGUCUCCGGUGCAUGGUAGCAGGGGUACUCACAAGCAUUUUGUGGAGUCAUUUGGGGAACUGUUUUUGGUUGAUAAGUACCUAGAUGAUGAACUUCAAAUCUUUUGUAAUGAUUAUAGCGACAUAGUUGCUGAUGUCCCUGAUUAUCCUGUUCAUUUUGAGGUCUUUAAGUUCAUUGAGGAGGAGCAGAAGUGGGAUUGGGUAAGCGACAUUGGCGACAGAGUGUUGUUUGUGGGUGAUGACCGCACCUUUUCUCUCUCGUCUACCGACUUCCCUGGAUUCAAGGGGAACUGCGUUUAUUUCACCCAAGACUGUUUCUGUGAAGAAGAUGAUGAUCGUCCCGGGUUUGAUGCUGGCAUAUUCGAUUUAGAGGAGCGCAUUGCUGGGCCACUAUCGGCUUUCCCAGGGUAUUCUAAGAUCUUUUGGCCACCCCCAGCUUGGCUUAGGCCACAAAGAAGCUAAAUGCAAGUAUGGACUAUUCUAGUUUUAAAAUCUCACUGGUUUUCUCCAUUUCUAACAGGAUUCUUGUUGUUGAUUUUCCAUUGGCACUGAGAAUAGCCUAAACAGGGUGACUUGUAGACCUUUUAUUUUGUCAUAUAUCUAUAUAUAUCUGCUAUAUAGAGCAUAAUAUCUCAUUGAAAUCAUGUAUACUUUUCAGUUUCUUUGUGUAUAUUUAUACAAAAUGUCCACUGACUUGUCUUCCUGAAUUGGACACUAAGUAAUCGAACCAAGGCUUGCAUGAAAUUUAAAUAUGGAUAUGCAGAACAUUAUCAAGAUUUUGCACUUGUGAUAUGAAUGCAUUUGUUGCCAUGGUUUAGAGGAUAUAAUAUCUCCUCUCUCUUUUUUGAUCCUUGCAGGUGAGGUUUUGAAAGAUUUUCUGUUUAUAUGAAAUGGUAAGCAGCUCCAUAUUGAAGAAACAACUGUUUUUUUAUUCUAUAACUAAGCAUUCUUGUCUGGAUAUGAUCUUUGCAGGUAAGCUGUCAAAAGGGUAUUUUGCAGUUGUAGAUAUGGAAUGCAGUGGGUAGCAUUAAGCUUUAGUUCUUUUUUGGGCUUUGGUUUCAGCUAAGUAGAUGGUGCUUCUGAAUUUCUGGAGUUUUUGGAUACUAUAAUGGUUUCUUUAGUUCAACUUUUAAGGCCUGUGAUGUUAUGCUUGGUUUCUUAGUAUUAGACUGAAAUUUCCUAUGAUUUUUAACUCUCAAGAGUGGCAGACACAAGGUCUAAAGAAUGAACAUGGAGGAGUAGAUGACAUGACUUUGUCAGGCAUCUAGUUCUCCUGUGCCAUUGUCGUGAAGGAACAGAUUUUAAUCUAUUUUCCAUGGAGAAGAGUUGCUUUGUCGUUAUAGGUGCCAGUAAUUGAAAACAAAGAGACAUCUAAAAAAAAUUAGUUGAUUAAAAGGGAUGAAAUGAUUUCAAAUUUGUAAAUCUACUUUUUUCCGAUAUUGGAACUCAUUUUUGAAAUAAAUGUUAUAAAUCGGGAGUUAUUUUACCCCUUUUAAUCAAUGAGUGAGUUAAUAGUUUCAAAACCAUAAAUAUGGAGAGAUAAGUGAGUGAAAAAAAAUUUAGAGUGCAUUUGAUAGCGAUUGUUUUAGAAAAGUCGGAAACACUUCUUAAAAUCACUAUUGCAUGUAUUCUUAAAUUAAAAAAAGUUUUAUAACAAAAAAAAUUGUGAGGGAGAAAAAUGACAAAAUGAAAUAUGAUAGGUAAUAAUGGAUAAGGUAAAAUGUAAACAAAAUCUAAUAGAUUGUAAGAACAUUUGUGGGAUAAUAUAAUUUUUUUAAAAUAAAUUUAAAUUUUGAAAAUUACAAAUAUAAUUUAACUUGUCUAUUUUAUAAAAUGGCAGUAUAUUUAAUAUGACAUUUAUGGAGAUUUUGAAAUCUAAUCAUGGUAAAGAAAUAUAUUUUUGAAUAAAAUAAUUUUCAUCUUUGAAAUUUUUUACAUAUGAGAAAGCAUAUUAAAAAUCAAAACAAAGAUAUUGUUAGGGAAGUGUUUUAGAAAAUGGUUUUUUAUAAUUGUUUUUAAAAACUAUUUUAUAAUAUUUGUAAAACAAGUAUUUUUACUGUUUUUUAUUUUAUUUUUAAGUAUUUUUUAAAAUUAAAUAUUAUCUAUGUACUUUUUUUAAUUAUUUUUGAUAUUUAUAUAAUUAUUUUUUACAAUAAAUAAGUGAAGUCUACUAAAACUAACUAAUAUAUUUUAUUAAAAAUGUCUUUUUAUAUAUUUUAAGAUAAAAAAUUUAGGUUUAUUUUGUAAUUAUUUUUAAAAAUAAUUUUGAAAAACAGUUUUUGAAAACUGUUAAUCAAUGUUUUAUAAAAUAAAAUUUUAUUUAAAAACUUAAAAUAUUUUAAAAUUUAAAAUAAAUUUUAUGUUUAAUAUUUUAUUUUUAAUAAGCACAAUCAACAUCCCCGAUAUUUAGAUUCCAUGAAAAAAAAUAAUAUAACGGUUUGUACUUGAAAGUUUUUUCGAUUUAUAUAUAUAUCUUCGAAAAUAGUGAGUUCUGAGUUGACAUAUAUGUUAUGACUUAUGACUUGUUAAUUUGAAAUAACAUUAAUUUGAAAAAAAUAUAUAAAAAAAAAUAUUUUCGUUAAAAACACGAAUAGAAAAAAAAGAUUAAAAAAAAUAAAUCAUCUUGAUUCCUCCUAAAAAACAUAUAAACAUAUGAUUAAAGUUCAUUAAAAAUUUUCAAAUAAAAGAUUUAUAUUUAAGAGUUUUUUUUUCUUCUUAAAAUAGAUUUAUUAAUAUAAUUAUCUGUGACCAAAUUUAUUUGAAAAAGAUUUUUAUAAAAGCUUUUUAAGAUUGUUUUGUAUUUUUAUUUAAUAUUUGAAUGAUAUUUUUCAUUUUUCAUUUUCAUUUUUAGAAAAAUGAAUUCAAAAAUGGAAACGUGGAAACAUCAAAUUGGUAUUUUAAUGAAAAAAAAUUAAAUAAAAAUGUAUUUAUAUAUGAUCCGACUGUUUGCCUGCCUCUAACUGUCCCGCUAAAUCUGCCGAAACGUGUCCAUCCACCCCACGCCACCAUGCAGGCGGCCUCUUUCUUCUGAUUGCCGGUCACCUCUCCGUUCUAAGGUUUGCAAAGCAAGGCAGAAAAUGGAGAGCGAUACAGGGCAGUGGUCCCAUCUCCCGAAGGAUCUGCUAGCGAAGAUCGCCGGACGCCUCGACACCAGCAUCGAUUUUCUCCGUUUCCGCGGCGUCUGCUCUUCAUGGAUGUCGUCCGUUUCCCCUACCUUUCCCAGCAAAAACCCCCUCUUGUCUCUGAAAAUCCCGUACCCCAUUGACUCCAUUGCAAACCUCAACAUCAGUGACCCCGACACCCCCAACCCUCGCGUCUCCUUUUCCCUCAUCGAGUCCACUCUCUAUUAUCUUCAACCACUCCGCCAAACCCCAGAUUCCAAAGAGGCCCUGUUGGUUAAGUUGGAGGAGCCUAAACCAGAGAAAGU